Long non-coding RNA from Esox lucius (northern pike), 603 nucleotides. The record is from Ensembl. NCBI's taxonomy places the organism in Eukaryota, Metazoa, Chordata, Actinopteri, Esociformes, Esocidae.
CCCACGCUGUAGUACCGUGAAAACUAGUUGGAUCAUUUGGUUCUUUCGUUCAGGAACAGGAACAAUUCUUUUUUGUAAGGUUUGUAAGGUACAAGCUAUAUGCUUUGAAUUGGACAAUACAACAUGUGGAUUAUCACAUUGUUUUACUACAAUUUGAUGAACUCCCGAAACAAAGAUCAAGAUAUUUUUGGACAUCGGACUGAAAGUUAUUAAACGCUGAGUCAUCUAUAUAGCUAUGCAGUUUGAAAAGGAAGGGCUAGAGCACCUGGUCAAGCUGGAGAAAGUCCUACUCUCUGGUCAAGUUGAUGACGUGGUUGACCUGUAUCCAGAGCUACAGUUCCAGUCCCUAAAGAACAUUUUAACCAAAUGCUUUCAAAAAGUGGUGGGGACAAAAUCAGCCAUUUCAAAAAGUGGUGGGGACAUGUCCCCAGCGUCCCCAGUGUAAAUGACACCUAUUCCUGUCACUAUAUGCAAGCAGUUGCCAAGAUGCGUUGUUGACCUUGGGGAUGCUGUUGCCUGGGUAAAUGCAAACAGUUCAUUUUGUCAGUGUUGGAAUUUAAUGUUUUGAAUAUUUGAUCAGGUGAUUAAAUGUUUAAUUGUCUA